Molecule: ribosomal RNA, 403 nt
Filed under: Verrucomicrobiota bacterium
Lineage: Bacteria; Pseudomonadati; Verrucomicrobiota
Description: Verrucomicrobia bacterium partial 16S ribosomal RNA
Rfam family: Bacterial small subunit ribosomal RNA
Source: RNAcentral
UGGGGAAUAUUGCACAAUGGGGGAAACCCUGAUGCAGCGACGCCGCGUGAGCGAAGAAGGUUUUCGAAUCGUAAAGCUCCGUCCUAUGAGAAGAUAAUGACGGUAUCAUAGGAGGAAGCCCUGGCUAAAUACGUGCCAGCAGCCGCGGUAAUACGUAUGGGGCGAGCGUUGUCCGGAAUUAUUGGGCGUAAAGGGUACGUAGGCGGUUUUUUAAGUCAGGUGUCAAAGCGUGGAGCUUAACUCCAUUAAGCACUUGAAACUGAAAGACUUGAGUGAAGGAGAGGAAAGUGGAAUUCCUAGUGUAGCGGUGAAAUGCGUAGAUAUUAGGAGGAAUACCGGUGGCGAAGGCGACUUUCUGGACUUUUACUGACGCUCAGGUACGAAAGCGUGGGGAGCAAACAGG